Long non-coding RNA from Solanum tuberosum (potato), 509 nucleotides. RefSeq lists it as uncharacterized. The transcript is spliced from 2 exons. NCBI's taxonomy places the organism in Eukaryota, Viridiplantae, Streptophyta, Magnoliopsida, Solanales, Solanaceae. The record is from RefSeq and is a predicted model, not a curated record.
CCAAAAUCUAAAUCAAUAAUAGAUAAAAAAGGAAAAAAAAAAACUACCGAUUAAUAUUAUUUCCCCAUCAUUCACGUUUCUCUCUCCCCAUCAUUCAAGUUUUAUAUUUUCUCUUUCUUCAAAUUUCUUUGCAGGUCAAGAAAUACAAAUUAUGAAUUGUUCUCCUAAUUUGUUCAACAAAUCUCUAACUUAACUCAAGAAAUAUCUCAAUUGUUAAAGGGCUCGGGCGAUUUCCCUGGGUUGGGUUCCAAAUCUCCGCCGCCGCCGCUCUAUGGAUGGUUCCGAAAAGACUCUUAUUGAAUCCAUGGAACUUGAUGAAUCAAUUACCGGAUAUAAGUUCUUAAUUGUCCAUUCAUUCUCAAUUCUAAAUAACCAAAAUACUAGUUUAUUUAUGUAUUCAUUAUUAAUGUAUUCAUCCUAAUUGCAUAUAGUAAAACUAAAGUUUUUAUCUUAUUUUGCUUAUUUUGUAUUUACAAUAUCACUUUGUAUACCAAAUAGUUUGUAUUUUA